This 377-nucleotide ribosomal RNA is filed under the name Salmonella enterica subsp. enterica serovar Cerro. Its description in RNAcentral is "bacterial SSU rRNA". It matches the Rfam family "Bacterial small subunit ribosomal RNA", at positions 1 to 374 of the family's 1533-position model. Lineage: Bacteria; Pseudomonadati; Pseudomonadota; Gammaproteobacteria; Enterobacterales; Enterobacteriaceae. The record is from RNAcentral.
AAAUUGAAGAGUUUGAUCAUGGCUCAGAUUGAACGCUGGCGGCAGGCCUAACACAUGCAAGUCGAACGGUAACAGAAAGCAGCUUGCUGCUUCGCUGACGAGUGGCGGACGGGUGAGUAAUGUCUGGGAAACUGCCUGAUGGAGGGGGAUAACUACUGGAAACGGUGGCUAAUACCGCAUAACGUCGCAAGACCAAAGAGGGGGACCUUCGGGCCUCUUGCCAUCAGAUGUGCCCAGAUGGGAUUAGCUGGUUGGUGAGGUAACGGCUCACCAAGGCGACGAUCCCUAGCUGGUCUGAGAGGAUGACCAGCCACACUGGAACUGAGACACGGUCCAGACUCCUACGGGAGGCAGCAGUGGGGAAUAUUGCACAAUGG